AGUGAACGCUGGCGGUAGGCCUAACACAUGCAAGUCGAACGGCAGCACAGGAGAGCUUGCUCUCUGGGUGGCGAGUGGCGGACGGGUGAGGAAUGCAUCGGAAUCUACUCUUUCGUGGGGGAUAACGUAGGGAAACUUACGCUAAUACCGCAUACGACCUACGGGUGAAAGCCGGGGACCUUCGGGCCUGGCGCGAAUGAAUGAGCCGAUGCCCGAUUAGCUAGUUGGCGGGGUAAGAGCCCACCAAGGCGACGAUCGGUAGCUGGUCUGAGAGGAUGAUGAGCCACACUGGAACUGAGACACGGUCCAGACUCCUACGGGAGGCAGCAGUGGGGAAUAUUGGACAAUGGGCGCAAGCCUGAUCCAGCCAUACCGCGUGGGUGAAGAAGGCCUUCGGGUUGUAAAGCCCUUUUGUUGGGAAAGAAAAGCAGCUGGUUAAUACCCGGUUGUUCUGACGGUACCCAAAGAAUAAGCACCGGCUAACUUCGUG
RNAcentral lists this ribosomal RNA (490 nucleotides) under uncultured bacterium. RNAcentral's name for it is "partial 16S ribosomal RNA". It matches the Rfam family "Bacterial small subunit ribosomal RNA", at positions 29 to 507 of the family's 1533-position model. The record is from RNAcentral.